UAGGCCCCAAGAAGAAGAAUAUUUCUGUCUAACAGAUGUAUGUACUCUAAGCAUCUAGAGCUUUGCCUAGGACACAGCAGUGAAGAUUAAAGACACCCAUUGUUCUUGCUGAAUGGUGCCUGCAACUUCUGUGACCAUUUUGCCAUGUUGGGACCAAGUGUGAAUGCAAAGUUUGCACAUAGAGGAGAACUGACCAAUCGGAGAAUGGAAAACUUCUUGAUCAUUGAUGACAGCAGUCAACCAGUGAAGCCAUCAAGCCUGGAGUUUUUCCUACUGCUGGAAUUCUUGUCAUUGCAGAAAAUCAAUGUUGUGUUCUGAUUUGGGGCAUUCUAGCUUGCAAAUAGAGGCAUCUUAGCUGACACCAAAUGCUCCCUAAGGAUAUUCCAAAGAUAAAAUUGAUGUCUUCAUUUUGAA
This 414-nucleotide long non-coding RNA is filed under the name Homo sapiens (human). Its description in RNAcentral is "HSALNT0305631". Lineage: Eukaryota; Metazoa; Chordata; Mammalia; Primates; Hominidae. The record is from RNAcentral.